RNAcentral lists this ribosomal RNA (498 nucleotides) under uncultured bacterium. RNAcentral's name for it is "partial 16S ribosomal RNA". It matches the Rfam family "Bacterial small subunit ribosomal RNA", at positions 30 to 523 of the family's 1533-position model. The record is from RNAcentral.
AUUGAACGCUGGCGGCAUGCCUUACACAUGCAAGUCGAACGGUAACGGGCCUUCGGGUGCCGACGAGUGGCGAACGGGUGAGUAAUGCAUCGGAACGUACCUUUUAGUGGGGGAUAACGUAGCGAAAGUUACGCUAAUACCGCAUCUUCUGUGAGCAGGAAAGCAGGGGAUCGCAAGACCUUGCGCUGAUUGAGCGGCCGGUGUGAGAUUAGCUAGUUGGUGGGGUAAAGGCUAACCAAGGCGACGAUCGGUAGCGGGUCUGAGAGGAUGAUCCGCCACACUGGAACUGAGACACGGUCCAGACUACUACGGGAGGCAGCAGUGGGGAAUUUUGGACAAUGGGGGCAACCCUGAUCCAGCCAUGCCGCGUGAGUGAAGAAGGCCUUCGGGUUGUAAAGCUCUUUCGGUCGGGAAGAAAUCGCAUGGGUUAAUACCCUGUGCGGAUGACGGUACCGGCAUAAGAAGCACCGGCUAACUACGUGCCAGCAGCCGCCGCCG